AUGUAACCGCCAUGGGGUAGGAAGCCCGGAACUAUUCUCCGUUCAGAAGAAUGCUGCUAACAAAGUAACUCACAUUUUCACAUGAAGGAGAACAAGUUAUGAAUGUGUCUUAUGAGCAAAGCAGAAUCAUUGCUUAUAAGUCAGUAAGUGUACCUGAAAACAUUCUACACAGUUGAGUUCAUCAAUAAUUAUUGGAGCAGAAUUCUAUAUCAAUCUGGAGCCUGACCGACCUUACUGAGAGGUGACUUCAUAUUAAGGGGAACUGGGUGAAUUUUACUCAGAGAGAAAAGGAAACUUCUUAGGCACAGUGGAAACACUGCUGGUUGAAGAAUUCAUUCAAGCUGACAGUUUGUCCUUGGACAUCUGCUCUUUCCCAAGCAUGUGACUGUCAUCUCCAGGCUCUUCCCAGAUGUUUCAAAAUCAUCCUCUGGGAUUUAACCUAAACUUGGCUCCCCAGAGAGACUGUUCUCAGUUACCAUGCCCCAAAGCCUCAGCUGCUAAGAGAUGCCAUGCUUACAGAACAAAGUCCUUGGCCCAUGUGGGUAUGCUCGCACAAGGUGGUACCUGGAGAGAUGACAAAGACAAUGUACAGCAAGCCUACGACCAACAUAAACCUAAAGGGAAAGAAAUAAUUUUCACUAAAAUCAAGAACAAGAAAAGGAUGUCUGCUCCCUUCGUAUCUAUUCGAUUUAGUACUUGAAAUAUUAGCUAGAGCAAGAAGAAAACUGAAGGAGAUCAAGGGGUUACCAAUAGGAAAAGAAGACCACCUUGUUAAGUUUUGGGUAUGGAAUCUGGAAAUAAAGAGACCUUUAUUUAUAGGAAAUC
Mesocricetus auratus (golden hamster) is the source of this 825-nucleotide long non-coding RNA. RefSeq lists it as uncharacterized. The record is from RefSeq and is a predicted model, not a curated record. The transcript has 5 exons. Lineage: Eukaryota; Metazoa; Chordata; Mammalia; Rodentia; Cricetidae.